GAUGAACGCCGACAGAAUGCUUAACACAUGCAAGUCGAUUCAAUUUACCUUCGGGUAUUGAGGAUGGCGGACGGGUGAGUAACGCGUAAGGAACUUGCCUCUUGGUCUGGGACAACUGUUGGAAACGACAGCUAAUACCGGAUAUUAUGAGAUUCUCGCAUGGGAAACUUAUGAAAGCUAUAUGCGCCAAGAGAGAGCCUUGCGUUCCAUUAGCUAGUUGGUGGGGUAACGGCCCACCAAGGCGACGAUGGAUAGCCGGCCUGAGAGGGUGAACGGCCACAAGGGGACUGAGACACGGCCCUUACUCCUACGGGAGGCAGCAGUGGGGAAUAUUGGACAAUGGGCCACAAGCCUGAUCCAGCAAUUCUGUGUGCACGAUGAAGGUCUUCGGAUUGUAAAGUGCUUUCAGUUGGGAAGAAGAAAGUGACGGUACCAACAGAAGAAGCGACGGCUAAAUACGUGCCAGCAGCCGCGGUAAUACGUAUGUCGCAAGCGUUAUCCGGAUUUAUUGNGCGUAAAGCGCGUCUAGGCGGAAAAAUAAGUCUGAUGUUAAAAUGCGGGGCUCAACUCCGUAUUGCGUUGGAAACUGUUUUUCUAGAGUACUGGAGAGGUGGGCGGAACUACAAGUGUAGAGGUGAAAUUCGUAGAUAUUUGUAGGAAUGCCGAUGGAGAANUCAGCUCACUGG
This 686-nucleotide ribosomal RNA is filed under the name uncultured prokaryote. RNAcentral's name for it is "bacterial SSU rRNA". It matches the Rfam family "Bacterial small subunit ribosomal RNA", at positions 28 to 732 of the family's 1533-position model. The record is from RNAcentral.